GGACGGUCUGAGUGCAGCAGUGUUUACAACUCCUUGAACACAACCAGUUACAAAUUUCAUUUGUUCCUUCUCCAUUCCCACUGCUUGCCCUGACUAGCCCUAA
This is an unclassified non-coding RNA of Aotus nancymaae (Ma's night monkey), 103 nucleotides long. It matches the Rfam family "Y RNA". Rfam says of the family: Y RNAs are components of the Ro ribonucleoprotein particle (Ro RNP), in association with Ro60 and La proteins. The Y RNAs and Ro60 and La proteins are well conserved, but the function of the Ro RNP is not known. Lineage: Eukaryota; Metazoa; Chordata; Mammalia; Primates; Aotidae. The record is from Ensembl.